RNAcentral lists this long non-coding RNA (209 nucleotides) under Elaeis guineensis (African oil palm). RNAcentral's name for it is "long non-coding RNA (EGUI_LNC032367)". Lineage: Eukaryota; Viridiplantae; Streptophyta; Magnoliopsida; Arecales; Arecaceae. The record is from RNAcentral.
GUUUUCCUUCAUAUUGGGGAGAUCCGAGAAUCGACCCCAAUGAGCAUAGUCAGGUUGACAUCAUCGAUCGAAAAAAUUUUCUCUGACUUAAAGAUAUGAAAGUUCCAGCAUAACGAAAACUGAUGACAGAGCAGGCUCUCUAUGAUGCCGGACUUAGUUCAGUAACUUAUUUAGAUAUUGCAUAAUUGGUCGCUUUGUUUUUUGUUUGC